CUGGACAGAAAGGUUUUAAAGUGGAAAUAGCAUUUCUUCUGGCUUAAUCUAUAUAUCGACUUUGAAUACAUGAAUUAUGAUUAUCUACUAAUGCUAUAGUGUUCUUAGAACUAUACAUGCAUAUCAAAGGCCCUUGUUUCAAUAUGUAAUUUUUAUGUCAUAGCAUAGUUAAUGUGAAAAAGACAGUUGUAUUAAAUAGCAAAAUGAC
Molecule: long non-coding RNA, 208 nt
Filed under: Carica papaya (papaya)
Lineage: Eukaryota; Viridiplantae; Streptophyta; Magnoliopsida; Brassicales; Caricaceae
Description: long non-coding RNA (CPAP_LNC000978)
Source: RNAcentral